This 141-nucleotide microRNA precursor is filed under the name Tupaia belangeri (northern tree shrew). RNAcentral's name for it is "miRNA (ENSTBEG00000017939.1)". The record is from RNAcentral. Lineage: Eukaryota; Metazoa; Chordata; Mammalia; Scandentia; Tupaiidae.
UCCAUGACACUCAGGAUACAAGACUUUCUAGCUCUUCACCCCACCAUACCUCAAGGUUAAAGACUGUAAAACAACGUAUCUUAAAUCAAGGUUGUUAAAGUUAUUGGAUCUGUAGUUGUCAUGUCUUCAUUUCUUUUCAUA